Long non-coding RNA from Carlito syrichta (Philippine tarsier), 523 nucleotides. RefSeq lists it as uncharacterized. The record is from RefSeq and is a predicted model, not a curated record. Lineage: Eukaryota; Metazoa; Chordata; Mammalia; Primates; Tarsiidae. The transcript is spliced from 2 exons.
CAGAGAGAAUUAAAUACAGCAGAGAUUUCCUGUUAAAGCUUUCAAGUGUUUCCAUCUGCAGAAAAAAACCAGACUUUCUGCCUGAUCAUCCCAUUGUACUUCAAAAACCAGAGAACAACCAAAGUUUUAAGUAGCAUUUUAAGAACAGAUGAAUUUGAAGAUAAAGAAUUAUUCAUUUUAUAUUUUGGACACCUGCAAAUAAAGUGGAUCUACUAACAGUAACUGUAAUGGACUGUGACUAUUCAAUUUAUUUUUAAUUUUGAUGGUUGACUAUUUAGCCUCUCUUAAAAUGAGAAAGAUAUUUUAAACUAUAAAGAAUUUUUUAAUCAGUUUCAGUUUUGUAGGCAGUUUCCUAUAUAAAUUGAGAAGUACCCUGGAAAGUAGAAAUUUGGUUAGUGAAGGGAGAAAACUGUAUUUAUAAUUUGCAUGCUACUUGGAAUAUUUUUCUUUUCAUCACUUGUAAUAAUGAAAUGGAAAUGUAAGCUGUAAAGAUUCUCAGAUAUACAGUAUUUACUAUAGUGUA